AUUGAACGCUGGCGGCAGGCUUAACACAUGCAAGUCGAACGAGUGGCGGACGGGUGAGUAAUGUCUGGGAAACUGCCCGAUGGCGGGGGAUAACUACUGGAAACGGUAGCUAAUACCGCAUACCAUCGGAUGUGCCCAGAUGGGAUUAGCUAGUUGGUGGGGUAAUGGCUCACCAAGGCGACGAUCCCUAGCUGGUUUGAGAGGAUGACCGGCCACACUGGGACUGAGACACGGCCCAGACUCCUACGGGAGGCAGCAGUGGGGAAUAUUGCACAAUGGGCGAAAACCUGAUGCAGCCAUGCCGCGUGUAUGAAGAAGGCCUUCGGGUUGUAAAGUACUUUCGGCGAGGAGGCGUUACUCGCAGAAGAAGCACCGGCUAACUACGUGCCAGCAGCCGCGGUAAUAC
RNAcentral lists this ribosomal RNA (406 nucleotides) under uncultured bacterium. Its description in RNAcentral is "partial 16S ribosomal RNA". It matches the Rfam family "Bacterial small subunit ribosomal RNA", at positions 30 to 526 of the family's 1533-position model. The record is from RNAcentral.